This 237-nucleotide ribosomal RNA is filed under the name uncultured bacterium. Its description in RNAcentral is "partial 16S ribosomal RNA". It matches the Rfam family "Bacterial small subunit ribosomal RNA", at positions 99 to 334 of the family's 1533-position model. The record is from RNAcentral.
CGAACGGGUGAGUAACGCGUGAGGAACCUGCCUCAAAGAGGGGGACAACAGUUGGAAACGACUGCUAAUACCGCAUAAGCCCACGGCUCGGCAUCGAGCAGAGGAAAAAGGAGCAAUCCGCUUUGAGAUGGCCUCGCGUCCGAUUAGCUAGUUGGUGAGGUAACGGCCCACCAAGGCGACGAUCGGUAGCCGGACUGGGAGGUUGAACGGCCACAUUGGGACUGAGACACGGCCCAG